AUUGAACGCUGGCGGCAGGCCUAACACAUGCAAGUCGAGCGGAUGAAGGGAGCUUGCUCCUGGAUUCAGCGGCGGACGGGUGAGUAAUGCCUAGGAAUCUGCCUGGUAGUGGGGGAUAACGUCCGGAAACGGGCGCUAAUACCGCAUACGUCCUGAGGGAGAAAGUGGGGGAUCUUCGGACCUCACGCUAUCAGAUGAGCCUAGGUCGGAUUAGCUAGUUGGUGGGGUAAAGGCCUACCAAGGCGACGAUCCGUAACUGGUCUGAGAGGAUGAUCAGUCACACUGGAACUGAGACACGGUCCGGACUCCUACGGGAGGCAGCAGUGGGGAAUAUUGGACAAUGGGCGAAAGCCUGAUCCAGCCAUGCCGCGUGUGUGAAGAAGGUCUUCGGAUUGUAAAGCACUUUAAGUUGGGAGGAAGGGCAGUAAGUUAAUACCUUGCUGUUUUGACGUUACCAACAGAAUAAGCACCGGCUAACUUCGCG
RNAcentral lists this ribosomal RNA (484 nucleotides) under uncultured bacterium. RNAcentral's name for it is "partial 16S ribosomal RNA". It matches the Rfam family "Bacterial small subunit ribosomal RNA", at positions 30 to 507 of the family's 1533-position model. The record is from RNAcentral.